This is a non-coding RNA of Etheostoma spectabile (orangethroat darter), 72 nucleotides long. NCBI's taxonomy places the organism in Eukaryota, Metazoa, Chordata, Actinopteri, Perciformes, Percidae. The record is from the annotation of a RefSeq genome assembly.
GUUUCUGUAGUGUAGUGGUUAUCAUGUUCGCCUCACGCGCAAAAGGUCCCUGUUCAAAACAGGACAGAAACA